Molecule: ribosomal RNA, 492 nt
Filed under: uncultured bacterium
Lineage: Bacteria
Description: partial 16S ribosomal RNA
Rfam family: Bacterial small subunit ribosomal RNA
Source: RNAcentral
AGUGAACGCUGGCGGUAGGCCUAACACAUGCAAGUCGAACGGCAGCACAGUAAGAGCUUGCUCUUACGGGUGGCGAGUGGCGGACGGGUGAGGAAUACAUCGGAAUCUACUUUUUCGUGGGGGAUAACGUAGGGAAACUUACGCUAAUACCGCAUACGACCUACGGGUGAAAGCAGGGGAUCUUCGGACCUUGCGCGAUUGAAUGAGCCGAUGUCGGAUUAGCUAGUUGGCGGGGUAAAGGCCCACCAAGGCGACGAUCCGUAGCUGGCCUGAGAGGAUGAGCAGCCACACUGGAACGGAGACACGGUCCAGACUCCUACGGGAGGCAGCAGUGGGGAAUAUUGGACGAUGGGCGCAAGCCUGAUCCAGCCAUACCGCGUGGGUGAAGAAGGCCUUCGGGUUGUAAAGCCCUUUUGUUGGGAAAGAAAAGCAGCAGGUUAAUACCCCGCUGUUCUGACGGUACCCAAAGAAUAAGCACCGGCUAACUUCGUG